UCCCUGGUAGCUUAGUCGGUAAAGAUUCUGCUUGCAAUGCAGGAGUCCGGGUUCGAUCCCUGGAUUGGGAA
This 71-nucleotide transfer RNA is filed under the name Capra hircus (goat). It matches the Rfam family "tRNA". Rfam says of the family: Transfer RNA (tRNA) molecules are approximately 80 nucleotides in length. Their secondary structure includes four short double-helical elements and three loops (D, anti-codon, and T loops). Further hydrogen bonds mediate the characteristic L-shaped molecular structure. tRNAs have two regions of fundamental functional importance: the anti-codon, which is responsible for specific mRNA codon recognition, and the 3' end, to which the tRNAs corresponding amino acid is attached (by aminoacyl-tRNA synthetases). tRNAs cope with the degeneracy of the genetic code in two manners: having more than one tRNA (with a specific anti-codon) for a particular amino acid; and 'wobble' base-pairing, i.e. permitting non-standard base-pairing at the 3rd anti-codon position. The record is from Rfam by way of RNAcentral. Lineage: Eukaryota; Metazoa; Chordata; Mammalia; Artiodactyla; Bovidae. RNAcentral also lists the same sequence under 1 other name.